Molecule: ribosomal RNA, 497 nt
Filed under: uncultured bacterium
Lineage: Bacteria
Description: partial 16S ribosomal RNA
Rfam family: Bacterial small subunit ribosomal RNA
Source: RNAcentral
GAUGAACGCUGGCGGCGUGCCUAAUACAUGCAAGUCGAGCGAACGGACGAGAAGCUUGCUUCUCUGAUGUUAGCGGCGGACGGGUGAGUAACACGUGGAUAACCUACCUAUAAGACUGGGAUAACUUCGGGAAACCGGAGCUAAUACCGGAUAAUAUUUUGAACCGCAUGGUUCAAAAGUGAAAGACGGUCUUGCUGUCACUUAUAGAUGGAUCCGCGCUGCAUUAGCUAGUUGGUAAGGUAACGGCUUACCAAGGCAACGAUGCAUAGCCGACCUGAGAGGGUGAUCGGCCACACUGGAACUGAGACACGGUCCAGACUCCUACGGGAGGCAUCAGUAGGGAAUCUUCCGCAAUGGGCGAAAGCCUGACGGAGCAACGCCGCGUGAGUGAUGAAGGUCUUCGGAUCGUAAAACUCUGUUAUUAGGGAAGAACAUAUGUGUAAGUAACUGUGCACAUCUUGACGGUACCUAAUCAGAAAGCCACGGCUAACUACGUG